UUGAAUAUACAUUGGGGAUGUUGCUGCUACUCUACCCAGGGUAAUGUGCACUCCCUUGAUAUUCAAAUCCACCUGUGCACAAUCGAGUAGGCAUAGAUUGGGUUCUGUGCCUAUGUUUUUACACACUCUCUAUGUUUGUAACAGAUGGCUUUUUAUAUAAUAUAUAUAUAA
Molecule: unclassified non-coding RNA, 171 nt
Filed under: uncultured Clavariaceae
Lineage: Eukaryota; Fungi; Basidiomycota; Agaricomycetes; Agaricales; Clavariaceae
Description: sequence contains ITS1
Source: RNAcentral